GAGGGAUCAUUACCGAGUUUACAACUCCCAAACCCCUGUGAACAUACCAAUUGUUGCCUCGGCGGAUCAGCCCGCUCCCGGUAAAACGGGACGGCCCGCCAGAGGACCCCUAAACUCUGUUUCUAUAUGUAACUUCUGAGUAAAACCAUAAAUAAAUCAAAACUUUCAACAACGGAUCUCUUGGUUCUGGCAUCGAUGAAGAACGCAGCAAAAUGCGAUAAGUAAUGUGAAUUGCAGAAUUCAGUGAAUCAUCGAAUCUUUGAACGCACAUUGCGCCCGCCAGUAUUCUGGCGGGCAUGCCUGUUCGAGCGUCAUUUCAACCCUCAAGCCCCCGGGUUUGGUGUUGGGGAUCGGCGAGCCCUUGCGGCAAGCCGGCCCCGAAAUCUAGUGGCGGUCUCGCUGCAGCUUCCAUUGCGUAGUAGUAAAACCCUCGCAACUGGUACGCGGCGCGGCCAAGCCGUUAAACCCCCAACUUCUGAAUGUUGACCUCGGAUCAGGUAGGAAUACCCGCUGAACUUAAGCAUAUCAA
RNAcentral lists this ribosomal RNA (529 nucleotides) under Fusarium cf. globosum UFMGCB8516. RNAcentral's name for it is "eukaryotic LSU rRNA". The stretch from base 161 to 314 matches the Rfam family "5.8S ribosomal RNA". The record is from RNAcentral. Lineage: Eukaryota; Fungi; Ascomycota; Sordariomycetes; Hypocreales; Nectriaceae.